UGUCGAGGGAUGGGAAUCGAACCCACAGUGUUCCGCUUACCGGGCAGAUGCCAUGUCCACUAGGCUACCCUGGAC
Cordylochernes scorpioides is the source of this 75-nucleotide non-coding RNA. The record is from the annotation of a GenBank genome assembly. NCBI's taxonomy places the organism in Eukaryota, Metazoa, Arthropoda, Arachnida, Pseudoscorpiones, Chernetidae.